RNAcentral lists this ribosomal RNA (253 nucleotides) under uncultured bacterium. RNAcentral's name for it is "partial 16S ribosomal RNA". It matches the Rfam family "Bacterial small subunit ribosomal RNA", at positions 524 to 776 of the family's 1533-position model. The record is from RNAcentral.
UACGGGGGGGGCAAGCGUUGUUCGGAAUUACUGGGCGUAAAGGGCUCGUAGGCGGCCAACUAAGUCAGACGUGAAAUCCCUCGGCUUAACCGGGGAACUGCGUCUGAUACUGGAUGGCUUGAAUCCGGGAGAGGGAUGCGGAAUUCCAGGUGUAGCGGUGAAAUGCGCAGAUAUCAGGAGGAACACCGGUGGCGAAGGCGGAUCUCUGGCCUGUUCUUGACGCUGAGGCGCGAAAGCUAGGGGAGCAAACGGG